GCCGUGGGCAUCUAGCACUGCAGUUCCUGCAUGAACACAAUGACUGGUGGGCCCGAACCUGCAACACGACUUCUGCUGUCACAGUCAAGUCUGCC
RNAcentral lists this microRNA precursor (95 nucleotides) under Jaculus jaculus (lesser Egyptian jerboa). RNAcentral describes it as "miRNA (ENSJJAG00000003718.1)". Lineage: Eukaryota; Metazoa; Chordata; Mammalia; Rodentia; Dipodidae. The record is from RNAcentral.